Molecule: ribosomal RNA, 253 nt
Filed under: uncultured bacterium
Lineage: Bacteria
Description: partial 16S ribosomal RNA
Rfam family: Bacterial small subunit ribosomal RNA
Source: RNAcentral
UACGUAGGGGCCUAGCGUUGUCCGUAAUUAUUGGGUGUAAAGGGCUCGUAGGCGGUCUGUUGCGUCAGGAGUGAAAACUCGGGGCUUAACCCCGAGCCUGCUUCUGAUACGGGCAGACUAGAGGUAUGCAGGGGAGAACGGAAUUCCUGGUGUAGCGGUGAAAUGCGCAGAUAUCAGGAGGAACACCGGUGGCGAAGGCGGUUCUCUGGGCAUUACCUGACGCUGAGGAGCGAAAGUGUGGGGAGCGAACAGG